UACGAAGGGGGCUAGCGUUGCUCGGAAUCACUGGGCGUAAAGCGCACGUAGGCGGAUCUUUAAGUCAGGGGUGAAAUCCUGGAGCUCAACUCCAGAACUGCCUUUGAUACUGAGGAUCUUGAGUCCGGGAGAGGUGAGUGGAACUCCGAGUGUAGAGGUGAAAUUCGUAGAUAUUCGGAAGAACACCAGUGGCGAAGGCGGCUCACUGGCCCGGUACUGACGCUGAGGUGCGAAAGCGUGGGGAUCAAACAGG
RNAcentral lists this ribosomal RNA (253 nucleotides) under uncultured bacterium. Its description in RNAcentral is "partial 16S ribosomal RNA". It matches the Rfam family "Bacterial small subunit ribosomal RNA", at positions 524 to 776 of the family's 1533-position model. The record is from RNAcentral.